Molecule: ribosomal RNA, 305 nt
Filed under: uncultured bacterium
Lineage: Bacteria
Description: bacterial SSU rRNA
Rfam family: Bacterial small subunit ribosomal RNA
Source: RNAcentral
UCCUACGGGACGCAGCAGUGAGGAAUAUUGGUCAAUGGGCGCGAGCCUGAACCAGCCAAGUAGCGUGAAGGAUGACUGCCCUACGGGUUGUAAACUUCUUUUAUAAAGGAAUAAAGUGAGGCACGUGUGCCUUUUUGUAUGUACUUUAUGAAUAAGGAUCGGCUAACUCCGUGCCAGCAGCCGCGGUAAUACGGAGGAUCCGAGCGUUAUCCGGAUUUAUUGGGUUUAAAGGGUGCGUAGGCGGCUUGGCAAGUCAGUAGUGAAAUCCAUGGGCUUAACCCAUGAACUGCUAUUGAAACUGUCGG